AAAGUGAAAAUGACCGGUUUCGGCCCAGUUAAAGAUAUUAAUUUAUCCGCUUUU
RNAcentral lists this transfer RNA (54 nucleotides) under Namalycastis abiuma. RNAcentral's name for it is "tRNA-Arg". Lineage: Eukaryota; Metazoa; Annelida; Polychaeta; Phyllodocida; Nereididae. The record is from RNAcentral.